RNA transcript from Tripterygium wilfordii, 1428 nucleotides. It is a transcript of the gene named RNA-binding KH domain-containing protein PEPPER-like, with no coding region annotated. The record is from RefSeq and is a predicted model, not a curated record. Lineage: Eukaryota; Viridiplantae; Streptophyta; Magnoliopsida; Celastrales; Celastraceae. The transcript has 7 exons.
AUCUGUAAUUGGAUCAUCGUCUCCCACCAUUAUCAGUAAUCGCAAACAUUGCAUAAAACCCUGUUCGCUCUGUUUUGUGGCGGUUCUCUCCGACCCGUUACGAUGGCUGAGAUGGUAGGCGGAUACCCGCUCUAUCCCUUAUAACCACUCAUGAUGCCCCUUCCCCAAUAUCAGUUUCAGCCUCUGCCUCAAUCUUACCCUCUGCCGCAACUCGAACCUCCGGGAACCAGAAAGCGCCGCCGUGAAGAGGGAAGCCCAUCGUCUGCUUCGGCAGAUGGGGACACGCUGGAUUCGGCCGCAAAGCGCAGAGCCGUGGCGCCGGACGGGAUAUUCAGGAUCGCGGUGCCUUCGAGGCAGAUCGGGAAGGCGAUUGGCAAAGUGGGGCACCGUGUCCAGAAGAUUAGAGAGGAAACAAAAGCUGCAAUUAAGAUCGCCGAUGCCAUAGCCGAGGAUGAUAGCAAUUCUGAGGCAUCUAAAGUUGCUGCAGGACAUGUAGCUGCCAAUACAAUAAGACUUCUGAUUGCGGGGUCCCAAGCAGGUUCUUUAAUUGGAAUAUCUGGUCAAAAUAUCGAGAAAUUAAGGAAUUCCUCUGGUGCUACAAUCGUGGUGCUCGCACAAAAUCAGUUGCCUCUGCGUGCAUCAGCUUAUGAAUCUGAUAGGGUUGUGCCGAUAUCAGGUGAUGUACCUGCAGUGCUGAAGGCUCUAGAAGAGAUUGGUCAUCAACUCAGGUUUCUUGUUGUUCUAAUAGUUACUAUUAGUCCAACAUACAAUUAUAGCUUAAUCCGACCAGCCCAACCAUUUGUGGAGCCAACUUCAGGACUACCAAUCUUGCAGCUGACUAUGUUACGUUUGAGAUGAUGAUUUCGGAAACUAUGGUUGGUGGAUUGAUAAGAUGCGGCUCCAAUAUAUCAAAGAUCAGAAGUGAGUCUGGAGCUAUGAUCAAGGUUUAUGGGGGAAAAGGGGAACAGAAGCGUAGGCAGAUCCAAUUUGGCGGUAGUGCUCAGUAGGUACGUCCACUUCCUUUUUAAAGUUUUUUAGUUGCAUGGUCGUCAUGUCGAAGUUUUGGCAAUUGUAUAUUUAGGCAAAGCAGAGAGUUGAUGAAUACAUGUACUCUCAGAUGAUACAACAAGCUGGUACUCAACAAUCAAUCUAAUCGAGAUGAUGAAUUAGGAAUACCCGGGGGAGACCACCUGGUGUCCAUCCUUACAUUUACUGUGUAAAAUCCGUUUCCUUGCCACCGAUUCUCUCCAUAUGAUCAUUCUGUGCGUAUGUAGAUAUCACGCAUUCAGUUAAAUGAGUUGUUUCUUCCUUACUGCAACAAUUAUGUAUAGGAUUUUGAAUUUCUUAGUGCUUUUGUUUAGAGUAACCUCGUGUCGAGUGGAAUGGAGUUUGGAGAGGGAGUGAAAUAUGAUGGUAUUGGUAUUACUA